UAACAUCCGGAAACGGGUGCUAAUACCGCAUAGUUUUCUUGAUCGCAUGAUCGGGAAAGGAAGACGGCCCUUUUGUGCUGUCGCUUAUGGAUGGACCCGCGGCGUAUUAGUUAGUUUGGUGAGGUAACGGCUCACCAAGACGAUGAUACGUAGCCGACCUGAGAGGGUGAUCGGCCACAUUGGGACUGAGACACGGCCCAAACUCCUACGGGAGGCAGCAGUAGGGAAUCUUCCGCAAUGGACGAAAGUCUUGACGGAGCAACGCCGCGUGAGUGAAAGAAGGUUUUUCGGAUCGUAAAACUCUGUUGUCAGAGAAGAACAAGUUGGAGAGUAACUGCUCCAGCCUUGACGGUAUCUGACCAGAAAGCCACGGCUAACUACGUGCCAGCCGCCGC
RNAcentral lists this ribosomal RNA (395 nucleotides) under uncultured bacterium. RNAcentral's name for it is "bacterial SSU rRNA". It matches the Rfam family "Bacterial small subunit ribosomal RNA", at positions 144 to 518 of the family's 1533-position model. The record is from RNAcentral.